This 466-nucleotide ribosomal RNA is filed under the name uncultured bacterium. RNAcentral describes it as "partial 16S ribosomal RNA". It matches the Rfam family "Bacterial small subunit ribosomal RNA", at positions 28 to 507 of the family's 1533-position model. The record is from RNAcentral.
GAUGAACGCUGGCGGCGUGCUUAACACAUGCAAGUCGAACGGAAAGGCCCAAGCUUGCUUGGGUCCUCGAGUGGCGAACGGGUGAGUAACACGUGGGUGAUCUGCCCUGCACUUCGGGAUAAGCCUGGGAAACUGGGUCUAAUACCGGAUAGGACCACAUUUUGGAUGGUGUGGUGGAAAGUUUUUCGGUGUGGGAUGAGCUCGCGGCCUAUCAGCUUGUUGGUGGGGUAAUGGCCUACCAAGGCGUCGACGGGUAGCCGGCCUGAGAGGGUGUACGGCCACAUUGGGACUGAGAUACGGCCCAGACUCCUACGGGAGGCAGCAGUGGGGAAUAUUGCACAAGGGGCGCAAGCCUGAUGCAGCGACGCCGCGUGGGGGAUGACGGCCUUCGGGUUGGAAACUCCUUUCGCUAGGGACGAAGCGUUAUGUGACGGUACCUGGAGAAGAAGCACCGGCUAACUACGUG